This 429-nucleotide ribosomal RNA is filed under the name Bacteroidota bacterium. Its description in RNAcentral is "Bacteroidetes bacterium partial 16S ribosomal RNA". It matches the Rfam family "Bacterial small subunit ribosomal RNA", at positions 355 to 776 of the family's 1533-position model. Lineage: Bacteria; Pseudomonadati; Bacteroidota. The record is from RNAcentral.
UAGGGAAUCUUUCGCAAUGGAUGCAAGUCUGACGGAGCAACGCCGCGUGAGUGAAGAAGGAUUUCGGUUCGUAAAACUCUGUUGUUAGAGAAGAACAGUGCAUAGAGUAACUGUUAUGCGUGUGACGGUAUCUAACCAGAAAGCCACGGCUAACUACGUGCCAGCAGCCGCGGUAAUACGUAGGUGGCAAGCGUUGUCCGGAUUUAUUGGGCGUAAAGCGAGCGCAGGCGGUCAAUUAAGUCUGAUGUGAAAGCCCCCGGCUCAACCGGGGAGGGUCAUUAGAAACUGGUUGACUUGAGUGCAGAAGAGGAGGGUUGAAUUCCAUGUGUAGCGGUGAAGUGCGUAGAUAUAUGGAGAAACACCAGUGACGAAGGCGACUCUCUGGACUGUAACUGACGCGGAGGCUCGAAAGCGUGGGUAGCAAACAGG